Molecule: transfer RNA, 73 nt
Filed under: Pteropus alecto (black flying fox)
Lineage: Eukaryota; Metazoa; Chordata; Mammalia; Chiroptera; Pteropodidae
Rfam family: tRNA
About the family: Transfer RNA (tRNA) molecules are approximately 80 nucleotides in length.
Source: Rfam by way of RNAcentral
GGUUCCAUAGUGUAGCGGUUAGCACGUCUGCUUUACACGCAGAAGGUCCUGCGUUCAUGCCCCAGUGGAGCCA